This is a non-coding RNA of Lizonia empirigonia, 91 nucleotides long. The record is from the annotation of a GenBank genome assembly. Lineage: Eukaryota; Fungi; Ascomycota; Dothideomycetes; Pseudoperisporiaceae.
GUCUCCGUGGCGCAAUGGUAGCGCGUUGGACUUCUACUACAUUCUGGUUCUGGUGAUCCAAAGGCUGCGGGUUCGAGCCCCGCCGGAGAUG